Molecule: long non-coding RNA, 372 nt
Filed under: Rosa chinensis
Lineage: Eukaryota; Viridiplantae; Streptophyta; Magnoliopsida; Rosales; Rosaceae
Description: sRNA RchiOBHm_Chr7g0241151
Source: RNAcentral
CGAGAUAUACCGAUCGAAAGAUUUUCGUUUCGGAUCGAAAACUUACCGAGCUCCGACGAACGUGAAACCGGUCACUCUAGGUGCAAUCCUCCUAGUAUGAUGAUCAGCAGGUUGAGGGGAGUUCAUGGAGCUAAGGAUCGGAAGUUUUGGUGGCCGGAGCUAGGAGAAAACCGGCGUUGACCAAAAUCGAGCUUUAAUCGAAACCGGGCCGCCGCCGCUAGGGGCCGUGCCGCCGUGAAAGGUUGCCACAGAUGGCUUCGGAGGAGUGAGGCGAAGCUGAUGGAGGUGGUUUGGAGGCAAACGGUGGCCGGAGCUAGGAGAACUCGGCCGGCGAUCCUUGCUCUGUUUUGCCGUCGUCCUCGGCCUCGAGCG